CUCGCUCAGGAUGAACGCUGGCGGCGUGCCUAAUACAUGCAAGUCGAACGCUUUGUCUUUAACUGAUAUGAAGAGCUUGCUCUGAUUUGAUUUUAUCUGACAAAGAGUGGCGAACGGGUGAGUAACACGUGGGUAACCUACCUCUUAGCAGGGGAUAACAUUUGGAAACAAGUGCUAAUACCGUAUAAUACCAACAACCGCAUGGUUGUUGGUUGAAAGAUGGUUCUGCUAUCACUAAGAGAUGGACCCGCGGUGCAUUAGCUAGUUGGUAAGGUAACGGCUUACCAAGGCAAUGAUGCAUAGCCGAGUUGAGAGACUGAUCGGCCACAAUGGGACUGAGACACGGCCCAUACUCCUACGGGAGGCAGCAGUAGGGAAUCUUCCACAAUGGGCGCAAGCCUGAUGGAGCAACGCCGCGUGUGUGAUGAAGGGUUUCGGCUCGUAAAACACUGUUAUAAGAGAAGAACGGCACUGAGAGUAACUGUUCAGUGUGUGACGGUAUCUUACCAGAAAGGAACGGCUAAAUACGUGCCAGCAGCCGCGGUAAUACGUAUGUUCCAAGCGUUAUCCGGAUUUAUUGGGCGUAAAGCGAGUCGCAGCACGGUUAUUUAAGUGCGUGAAGAUGAAAGCCCUCAGCUCAACUGAGGAAUGGCUUUGGAAACUGGAUGACUUGAGUGCAGUAGAGGAAAGUGGAACUCCAUGUGUAGCGGUGAAAUGCGUAGAUAUAUGGAAGAACACCAGUGGCGAAGGCGGCUUUCUGGACUGUAACUGACGUUGAGGCUCGAAAGUGUGGGUAGCAAACAGGAUUAGAUACCCUGGUAGUCCACACCGUAAACGAUGAGUGCUAGAUGUUCGAGGGUUUCCGCCCUUGAGUGUCGCAGCUAACGCAUUAAGCACUCCGCCUGGGGAGUACGACCGCAAGGUUGAAACUCAAAGGAAUUGACGGGGACCCGCACAAGCGGUGGAGCAUGUGGUUUAAUUCGAAGCAACGCGAAGAACCUUACCAGGUCUUGACAUCCCUUGCUAAUCCUAGAAAUAGGACGUUCCCUUCGGGGACAAGGUGACAGGUGGUGCAUGGUUGUCGUCAGCUCGUGUCGUGAGAUGUUGGGUUAAGUCCCGCAACGAGCGCAACCCUUAUUAUUAGUUGCCAGCAUUCAGUUGGGCACUCUAGUGAGACUGCCGGUGACAAACCGGAGGAAGGUGGGGAUGACGUCAAAUCAUCAUGCCCCUUAUGACCUGGGCUACACACGUGCUACAAUGGCAUAUACAACGAGUCGCCAACCCGCGAGGGUGCGCUAAUCUCUUAAAGUAUGUCUCAGUUCGGAUUGUAGGCUGCAACUCGCCUACAUGAAGUCGGAAUCGCUAGUAAUCGCGGAUCAGCACGCCGCGGUGAAUACGUCCCCGGGC
RNAcentral lists this ribosomal RNA (1407 nucleotides) under Weissella paramesenteroides. Its description in RNAcentral is "bacterial SSU rRNA". It matches the Rfam family "Bacterial small subunit ribosomal RNA", at positions 19 to 1379 of the family's 1533-position model. The record is from RNAcentral. Lineage: Bacteria; Bacillati; Bacillota; Bacilli; Lactobacillales; Lactobacillaceae.